Long non-coding RNA from Esox lucius (northern pike), 308 nucleotides. RefSeq lists it as uncharacterized. The record is from RefSeq and is a predicted model, not a curated record. Lineage: Eukaryota; Metazoa; Chordata; Actinopteri; Esociformes; Esocidae. The transcript has 3 exons.
GUAUAAAUACAGUGUGUGUGUGUGUGUGUGUGUGUGUGUGUGUGUGUGUGCGUGUGUGUGUGUGAGAUCCAGGUCUAACUAUUCAUGUGGAGACCAGACGUCCCCACAAAGAAGAUCAAGUUGCUGCCUGAUGAGUCCUGCUGCCACUGCCACUGCCCUCAUCCCACCUGAAUGUCCCUGUCCUGCCUACCUGUUUAUGCAGUGGACUUUGAUUCUAUUUAAGGACUCUGGUCACAGCCCACUUGCAUUUAUUGACCUGCUCUGAUCAGCUUUCUAACAGACGCCUGAAGGUUUUGUGCCAAAAUUGC